AGUGAACGCUGGCGGUAGGCCUAACACAUGCAAGUCGAACGGCAGCACAGUAAGAGCUUGCUCUUACGGGUGGCGAGUGGCGGACGGGUGAGGAAUACAUCGGAAUCUACUUUUUCGUGGGGGAUAACGUAGGGAAACUUACGCUAAUACCGCAUACGACCUACGGGUGAAAGCAGGGGAUCUUCGGACCUUGCGCGAUUGAAUGAGCCGAUGUCGGAUUAGCUAGUUGGCGGGGUAAAGGCCCACCAAGGCGACGAUCCGUAGCUGGUCUGAGAGGAUGGUCAGCCACACUGGAACUGAGACACGGUCCAGACUCCUACGGGAGGCAGCAGUGGGGAAUAUUGGACAAGGGGCGCAAGCCUGAUCCAGCCAUACCGCGUGGGUGAAGAAGGCCUUCGGGUUGGAAAGCCCUUUUGUUGGGAAAGAAAAGCAGCAGGUUAAUACCCCGCUGUUCUGACGGUACCCAAAGAAUAAGCACCGGCUAACUUCGUG
Molecule: ribosomal RNA, 492 nt
Filed under: uncultured bacterium
Lineage: Bacteria
Description: partial 16S ribosomal RNA
Rfam family: Bacterial small subunit ribosomal RNA
Source: RNAcentral